UAGUUUAUAUGACAUGCAGUACCCAACUCUUUUUGAGGUUGAAUUGACUGUUAAUUUGCAUGAAUCAUAGACAAUUGUUGCAAAAUAUAGUAUUAUGAAUGUAAAUCUGAUGUACUUAUUUCUUGGUUAUCCAGGAUGCUGUUUCAUCAUAAAAAGCACCAAUACAUAUUGAGCUUGAAGUCUGACUAUUAAUUCCUGUUGAUUAUAUAGUUAAAACUAAAUACUUAUUCUGAUAUGAACUAAUGGUUAUAGUUUUAUACUUUUAUGAAUAUAAAUAUAUAACAGAGAUAUUAAUGGUCAAAGUUGGACUACAAAUCACAGAGGGUUUAUAUCAAUGGUCAAUGCUAUGCAAUAUGUAUACAAUUGCUGACUGUCAUUACAUAUUUUCAUGCUAGGCAAAGGGAGGAGGAUUAGCAUUUCUCCAAGUUAAUCAAUCUUCAUUGAAGGAGAAUAGUUCUUCUGGAAGACCAUCUGCUUUGCUGGCAUAUAUUAACAGGGAUCUGAAUAUGUUGUAUUUGACCCCCUUACCCAAGAACAACAAGAACUCAAUGUUCAUCGGAAGAAAGGUUCAGCGGAUUUCGAGGAAGCAGGACGAUCUGGGUACGCUUCUAUUUACGGGGAGCUGCCGCAUUUUGAUCCCAAGAAGAUUAUGCAAGCUACUAUUGUGCCGUCAGAGCGUCCUUGGGAGACCAUUUUCAACGGUCCCUCACAUGCUCUUCCGCCACUUACGAAAUUGUGUUCUGCAUUUUUGGAAUCAUUGCUUGAGAAGAGAACAGCUAGCACUGGCUGAUUUCUGAGCAGAAUUUUGAAUUGUAAUAGAAAUUUUGGCACGGAAAUCACCUUUGAUUUUCUUCUUCGUAUACGGUGUCUAUGUAACCACUUAUUUACUCUGCUUAAUGAAAUGAAGAAGCAUAUUUAAGUAUUAAUGAAA
Long non-coding RNA from Beta vulgaris subsp. vulgaris (sugar beet), 931 nucleotides. RefSeq lists it as uncharacterized. The record is from RefSeq and is a predicted model, not a curated record. The transcript is spliced from 2 exons. NCBI's taxonomy places the organism in Eukaryota, Viridiplantae, Streptophyta, Magnoliopsida, Caryophyllales, Amaranthaceae.